Thunnus maccoyii (southern bluefin tuna) is the source of this 809-nucleotide long non-coding RNA. RefSeq lists it as uncharacterized. The transcript has 3 exons. The record is from RefSeq and is a predicted model, not a curated record. Lineage: Eukaryota; Metazoa; Chordata; Actinopteri; Scombriformes; Scombridae.
CACCUGUGUGGUCGUACCAAGGUUACCUAAUGGUUACACAAAAUCUUUCUGUGGUCCAAAAGCAGACUUUUUCCAAGUUGUUGCCAAGUUGUGCAAGCCACACAAAGGCGCCGUGUCUUCGCCCCUCCACUCUCACUCUCAGAUCCUGAGCUCCCAAAGUGAAAGCGGCACAGCAAUCUCUGGGCUCAUUGACUGUGGGGCCUGAGGGGCUUUGUGGUAAAAGUCUAGGCACGUAUUAGCUCUGCAGUGCUGGCUGACCCAGACUGGUCCCUGGCCACAUAACCACCGUCUCAUGCCUACUGAAAGGGCCUUUGUGUUGGAAUGUGUCGGCACGGAGCCUGGCCCCUCUGGAACAUCUUCCGUGGGAUAUGCAGAGCUGGCAGGUUGACAGGCAGAACUCGGCCAUCUGUGUGCCAAGUCAAGUGAGCGGAGGUGUGGAUGGUGCGCGUGGAUCGUGAUGAAACUGAUGCCCCUGGGACUCUCCCUGCAGGCAGAAUAAUAAAACGAGCAGCGUGUGACUGAUGUGUGUGUAUAUGCAGAGAGCAUUUACAGACAUUACACUGGGACGGGGGUGUGUUUCUGCAAUUGUGUGUUGACGCCCAGAGGGAGAAUCCUCGCUUCACUUGUCCCUCCUCCAUGUGGAGGUCAGGGAUCGAGACCGGCUUUAGAAGAUCAUCCCCACAACUGAGAAAUUCAGUGCCUUACUCACACUUCAGCAGCUUGCUUUGUAGCUUUUUAGAUUUCUCCAGUCACUAGGUUACCUUAUUUGUUUGUAGUUGUGUCAAUAAAAGUAUUGUUGCAGUUAUUGA